Long non-coding RNA from Dermacentor andersoni, 2930 nucleotides. RefSeq lists it as uncharacterized. Lineage: Eukaryota; Metazoa; Arthropoda; Arachnida; Ixodida; Ixodidae. The record is from RefSeq and is a predicted model, not a curated record.
GAGCCUUUGUUUUGUAUUUGAUUGGGGUCGCUUUUUACAGCGGUAUUUCAGAGCUCUGCAGUGAUCUACGCAGCUGAGGCACAGGUUGCCUUUCGCAGUGACACUGUUUUGACGGGUUACGUGUUUGAUGAAAUGGGCAAGACGUACAAGAGCAACAAAAUGUGCUGUGUGCCUCAGUGCACACACUGUGCAGUCAAAGGCUAGGUAAGCCUUCACUCGUUUCCUUGCGACGAACGAAUGAAAAAGGAGUGGACAGUGAAAUUGCGCAUUGGGAAGCCCAUCACGAAAACAAUGAAGGUGUGCAGCGCUCACUUUGUCCCCGCAGAUUUCUUCUCGGGUACAACUGGUAAGUGAAUAUUUUGUACUUGCAUUAUGUUGUGUCUCAACGAGGGGCGCACACCGUGAGCACUUAUGUGUUGAGCGGUAUUUUUGCUGGAGGACAUUUUCUUUCGUGGGGCACCUUGUGUCAUGUUCGAUAGCGAGCUGUGACGAACUGCCAGACCACCUCACAGUCGCUGUUAGUAUAUGCACGCAUUGAAAUUGCUAAUAAAACAUAAUGGCUCCAAACAUGCCUUGGUUGAUAAAUUUUGAUUACUUCAUUUUUUUAACACGCACUAAACAUUUAUGCUAGGCGCCAGUGUUUUCUGCCCUUCGGUUGUAUCGAAGUGCAGCAGCUGUGAGCUAACAUGUGCUUUGCGUUUGAACAUCUAAGCUAUGGAGCCGGGAGGAAAUGCUUUUAUUGCAGCACUUCCUUGCAGAGUUAAUGUAUCAAAUCAGAAUUUCUACAGGCCGCUACUCGAUGGUUGUGGAGGCGCUCGCGGAAUGAGCUGGUGCUUUCUAGCGAAAUGAAAAAAAAUAUAUAUAUUAAGGGGAGCAGUUGAAAUGCAUGUAGUGGUGUCCGGUAUUGGCCCAAAGGAAAAGAAAAAUAUUUAGUUCGGUUGAUGUGCUGGUAUUAACUACAUGCACAAGUGUGAGCACAUUUCCCUGUAUGAUUUAUUUUUCAUUUUUACAGUUCGUGCAGAAUUCAGAGUGUGAGUUAUUUUGUUAAUUAUUGUUAUAAUUAUUCACCUAUGGCGAACACAUCAAUCACUAUCUUGAAAACUAUUGAUGCGAAACUAAUCCAGUCUGCAAAACUUUCUUAUGUGCAAUGUUUCUUGAAUAUUUUUCAAUCAAUUCCCUGAUAUUUUGCCACUCUUUCUGCUGUGUUGUUCAGCAUGCACCAGAACUGGGUGCAUGUGAAUGUUUUGAGACCUAAACAGGUUCUGUAAGAUGGAUUAUUAUUCUCACAAACUGUUAUCGAAGUUAAAAAAAUAGAGGAUAAUAUACUUCAUAAAGGUUAAAAUCAUUGAAAAUAAUUAGGGAGGAUGAAAAUAAGCAGAUAGUUGUUAAGUAUUGGCUACCUAGUUGAAUAACCGUGACUGUUAUCCAGUCUUUGCUGAGCCCAAUAUGCACUUAGUGAUGGCAGGAUUCAUUUGGCCAUUGCGGCGAUUCUUGAAAUAGAGCUGUGAAAAUCUAGAAAGUGUCACUGUGUGUGCUUUCAUGGGAACUUUUUUUUCAGUAGAAGUCCUUAAAAGGUAUUAAAACUCUAUCCAUACACUCACUCGAACUGAGUACAGAUUUAUGGCACAUCUGAAGUUGAAAAAAUCUUUUUAUUCCUUUUCUUACUUUCUCUUUUAUAAGCUUUUACUAUUUUGUGCCCUUGAUUUCAGUAGUGGUUGUAUUUAUCUGCCCAUCUUGGUUGCAUACAGAAUGUGUGCCUCCAAAUAACACCGUGGGAAAUAUGUUACUAAGACCGUGAUCUCAUAUUUCAAAGCACCAGAAAUGUGGCGACCAGCCCGGCGACAACUGAAGAAAACGGCAGCACCAUCACGGUGCCUACCUGUGCGGAGCCUUGACAGCACAGAUCCAGCCACGAGCCAGGCAUCGGCUGAGAGAGCCUUCCGGACAUCAGCAAGAGCAGCAAGAAUCCCUACUCUCGACCCACAUAAUGUCCCACCAAGCAUUACUUGCUCAUCACCGCAGGAUAAUUCAGGAAGUGCAAGCCCAGCCUGUUCUUUGGCUAGCGGCUCCCUGCUGACUUGGGGCAGCCGCUCCUUGUGCUGCUGAUAUCAAGGCUGGUGCCGUAGACGUCGAAGCUGAUGUCAUAGAUGACGUCGAGGCUGGCGCUGGGGAUGACGUCGAGGCUGACGAGACCUGGGACGCUGACACCAAGCCUGACAGAUCAGAAAAAUCUGAUUGUUCGUCCAAGUCCUGGUCUUCAAACUGGGUAAUGCCCAUUAAAAUUUUUUCUGCACUACUGUGCUGCUGGUUCGCACCAAGUGGCUCACUUGUGUCCAGCUGCUGGCCACCUCUCUCGGGCUUGCAGGCACUACAUAAUUGCCUGAAGUGCUGCACAUAAGAAAAAGUGCAUGUUUUCUAUGUUGUGACGUUUUGUAACAUUGCAAUAAAACAAAGUGAAACCAUUUCAGUGUUUUUCUUGCUCUUCAUUAUUGUUAUAGCCUCACACACUGUAAAACUGUUAUGAACAAUACUAGCACUUUCAUAAUGUUGAAGUUGUCAUUCACUAAUGUGAUCCGUAUUACCAUGCAUUGUGCAAAAGAGAGAAAUGCAAAAGAAAAAUAUAAGUAAAGGUGCAUCAAAAUAUUUUCGUGCAUCUCAGUGUAUCUGUAAAAGAAAAUAUAUAUUCCUUGUAAAGUGUCUAAUCGCAGUAAAAAUGCCAUGCUAGAAGUAACUUAUAUAAGUCGGCAAUUUGGCAAGCAUACAUGAAACAUAGCCAUGCGCAUCAUAUUCAUGAUUUAAGGUAAUGACUACGAUCGAAGCGGCACCACAUGCUAUAACAUGAUGUGAAAACCCUUGCCAUUAGUUGUUCACAAGUGGAAUUGCACUGUGAUAACUCCGAAAACUAUAAUUCACAGCCUAGGCAUGUGGUA